RNAcentral lists this ribosomal RNA (472 nucleotides) under uncultured bacterium. RNAcentral describes it as "bacterial SSU rRNA". It matches the Rfam family "Bacterial small subunit ribosomal RNA", at positions 328 to 793 of the family's 1533-position model. The record is from RNAcentral.
CUCGAUCACUCCUACGGGAGGCAGCAGUGGGGAAUAUUGCACAAUGGGGGAAACCCUGAUGCAGCCAUGCCGCGUGUGUGAAGAAGGCCUUCGGGUUGUAAAGCACUUUCAGUAGGGAGGAAGGUAGUGUAGUUAACACCUGCAUUAUUUGACGUUACCUACAGAAGAAGCACCGGCUAACUCCGUGCCAGCAGCCGCGGUAAUACGGAGGGUGCGAGCGUUAAUCGGAAUUACUGGGCGUAAAGCGCAUGCAGGCGGCCUGUUAAGUCAGAUGUGAAAGCCCGGGGCUUAACCUCGGAAUUGCAUUUGAAACUGGCAGGCUAGAGUCUUGUAGAGGGGGUAGAAUUUCAGGUGUAGCGGUGAAAUGCGUAGAGAUCUGAAGGAAUACCAGUGGCGAAGGCGGCCCCCUGGACAAAGACUGACGCUCAGAUGCGAAAGCGUGGGGAGCAAACAGGAUUAGAUACCCUGGUAG